CAGUUAUCUCCAGCAUUUUGGUCUAGAGGGUACUGGUCCUGUUGGUAUUGAAGUAAAGAAAGUGCUAGGAGACUGUGUUGAGAUAGACAACAAAUCAUCAGACCAGUACUGGUCCCAUGGGUCUGCUUUCACUAGAGGAACCAACUUAAAUAAAACUGGAGACAACUGCAUGCAACAAAUAAAGUUUCCGUCCUUAAAUGACAAAAGAGAAAGUGAUGGACUCUUUGCUAUGAUUGAUGGAGGAAAAUCAAGCGAUGCCUCAAGCAAAAUCAAAAAGAAAAUGGCUACCAUAGUCUACUCUGAAAUGCUGGCUA
Molecule: long non-coding RNA, 314 nt
Organism: Amphimedon queenslandica
Lineage: Eukaryota; Metazoa; Porifera; Demospongiae; Haplosclerida; Niphatidae
Exons: 2
Source: RefSeq, a predicted model, not a curated record